UCAAUUCUUAUCGAUAUAUAACAAAAUCUUUGCAUCACCAUCGCACCACCACACCACCUAUUGAGAAUGCCUUUCAUCCUCGUUCAAUUGCCCCUUCAACAACACGUAUGGAUGUUAGGUUCAAGAUGAUUUAUUGUAAUGAGUUUGCUUUACUCGCAGGCCAUGACUCAACAGACGCUCUCAUUUCUUUCCGGUGAACGCCAUGGUUUGGAGGGCGUGGAUUUAUGGAGGUGAACGAAUUUGGUGUGGAGUGAAUACAUGUUUAGGGAUUAGAAGAUAAUACAUGAUAUUCAAAGUUCAAACAAAACAUUAUCAGAGAUCUUCGUGUCCGGUAGGAUUGCUCCGCCCUUAGUGGUGUCUCUUCCAUCAGGAGAACUGCUUCUAGGGAAGGGGAUGGAGAUGAACCAGUAUGGUUAGUAGGUCAGGAAAGGAAAAAAAAGGCGAUGAAAGAAAAAAGCCACCUGAAUAUGUGAAGAUUAAAACCUACUUCAAAAGUUCGGUUGAGACAUGAUGAAGAUAAUGGUUUCUUGUUGUUCGCGACAACUCGGGCACCAAGAGAAUUCACGAAGAAUGAUCUAUAUUUGUGGCAACCUUUAUUUUCCGGUGAUAUUUUGUAUCGGCAUUAAUAUAAUAUUGUUAACUUUAAAUGUUGUUAUUAUUUAAUGAAAUAUUGUACCGUGUUUU
This 684-nucleotide long non-coding RNA is filed under the name Helianthus annuus (common sunflower). The record is from RNAcentral. Lineage: Eukaryota; Viridiplantae; Streptophyta; Magnoliopsida; Asterales; Asteraceae.